GGGAACACUUUUUUCGUUUGUUGCGUAUGUUAUGCGCCAAAAUGUGACUUUCGCUGAGUAUUUCUGUGUGUUCAUAAUCUUGAGACCUUUUGGAAUUAGGAAAUAGUGGGCGUCGGCGAAGGUAGAGAACGAAUUUGAAAAAAAAAACUGAUAAAUCUAAUAAAAUUAUUUUAGGUUUUACAAUCUUCGUUUACUAAGCUAGGGUUCGCGUGUUGCACAAUAUUGGAAGUUUCAGUUUUGUGACUUGCGUUUUUUUGUUUCCAUUUUUUUAUUAUCUACAAAUAUUUACUUGUUUACAUGCUAGCUCUACUAGUAAUACAGUCCAUUUGUUAUGUUUCAUUUUCACAUGUUUUUUUCUGUUUGAUCCAUUACUUGCGAAUUAGCAUCAUUAUUUUGGUUAGUGUCGAAUUUAAUCGCGCUGUGAAAGAGCGAUAUAUUAUCAUCCAUCCAGGAAAAAAACUUAAAUACUAUACUAUGGGGCUAUUGUUCUUCAGUGUAAUAAUUUACAGUGUUUUGAAACGUGUGAGAAACAAAUUGCCUGUGAGCGAAAAAAGAGAGAUUUUUUAAGGUGUGACACAAUUAAACUAACACAUAUCAGACGGGGUGCGAUUCAAACUAGGACGAAUGGAAACAGAUGAAGAGAGAUUGAUCUAAACGGCGUAAUAUUGGGCGAUCUUUUUUUGCUAACUGUACAAUGUGAGUCACGACAAAUGCCCGUUGAA
Molecule: long non-coding RNA, 722 nt
Organism: Armigeres subalbatus
Lineage: Eukaryota; Metazoa; Arthropoda; Insecta; Diptera; Culicidae
Exons: 2
Source: RefSeq, a predicted model, not a curated record